RNAcentral lists this ribosomal RNA (301 nucleotides) under uncultured bacterium. Its description in RNAcentral is "partial 16S ribosomal RNA". It matches the Rfam family "Bacterial small subunit ribosomal RNA", at positions 509 to 809 of the family's 1533-position model. The record is from RNAcentral.
CAGUCGCCGCGGUAAUACAGAGGGUGCAAGCGUUAAUCGGAAUUACUGGGCGUAAAGCGCGCGUAGGUGGUUUGUUAAGUUGAAUGUGAAAUCCCCGGGCUCAACCUGGGAACUGCAUCCAAAACUGGCAGGCUAGAGUCUUGUAGAGGGGGGUAGAAUUCCAGGUGUAGCGGUGAAAUGCGUAGAGAUCUGGAGGAAUACCGGUGGCGAAGGCUGCCCCCUGGACAAAGACUGACGCUCAGGUGCGAAAGCGUGGGGAGCAAACAGGAUUAGAUACCCGCAUAGUCCCUGUCUCUUAUAA